RNAcentral lists this ribosomal RNA (178 nucleotides) under uncultured bacterium. RNAcentral describes it as "partial 16S ribosomal RNA". It matches the Rfam family "Bacterial small subunit ribosomal RNA", at positions 338 to 508 of the family's 1533-position model. The record is from RNAcentral.
CCUACGGGAGGCAGCAGUGGGGAAUAUUGGACAAUGGGGGCAACCCUGAUCCAGCAAUGCCGCGUGUGUGAAGAAGGCCUGCGGGUUGUAAAGCACUUUCAGUAGGGAAGAAAAGCUCGGGGUUAAUACCCCCGGGUCUUGACGUUACCUAAAGAAGAAGCACCGGCUAACUCCGUGC